UUGGUGAGGUAAUGGCUCACCAAGGCGUCGACGGGUAGCCGGCCUGAGAGGGUGACCGGCCACACUGGGACUGAGACACGGCCCAGACUCCUACGGGAGGCAGCAGUGGGGAAUAUUGCACAAUGGGCGGAAGCCUGAUGCAGCAACGCCGCGUGAGGGAUGACGGCCUUCGGGUUGUAAACCUCUUUUAGCAGGGAAGAAGCGUGAGUGACGGUACCUGCAGAAAAAGCGCCGGCUAACUACGUGCCAGCAGCCGCGGUAAUACGUAGGGCGCAAGCGUUAUCCGGAAUUAUUGGGCGUAAAGAGCUCGUAGGCGGUUUGUCGCGUCUGCUGUGAAAUCCCGAGGCUCAACCUCGGGCCUGCAGUGGGUACGGGCAGACUAGAGUGCGGUAGGGGAGAUUGGAAUUCCUGGUGUAGCGGUGGAAUGCGCAGAUAUCAGGAGGAACACCGAUGGCGAAGGCAGAUCUCUGGGCCGUAACUGACGCUGAGGAGCGAAAGGGUGGGGAGCAAACAGGCUUAGAUACCCUGGUAGUCCACCCCGUAAACGUUGGGAACUAGUUGUGGGGUCCUUUCCACGGAUUCCGUGACGCAGCUAACGCAUUAAGUUCCCCGCCUGGGGAGUACGGCCGCAAGGCUAAAACUCAAAGGAAUUGACGGGGACCCGCACAAGCGGCGGAGCAUGCGGAUUAAUUCGAUGCAACGCGAAGAACCUUACCAAGGCUUGACAUACACGAGAACGGGCCAGAAAUGGUCAACUCUUUGGACACUCGUGAACAGGUGG
Molecule: ribosomal RNA, 781 nt
Filed under: Microbacterium tumbae
Lineage: Bacteria; Bacillati; Actinomycetota; Actinomycetes; Micrococcales; Microbacteriaceae
Description: bacterial SSU rRNA
Rfam family: Bacterial small subunit ribosomal RNA
Source: RNAcentral